This is a long non-coding RNA of Piliocolobus tephrosceles (Ugandan red Colobus), 439 nucleotides long. RefSeq lists it as uncharacterized. The record is from RefSeq and is a predicted model, not a curated record. The transcript is spliced from 3 exons. NCBI's taxonomy places the organism in Eukaryota, Metazoa, Chordata, Mammalia, Primates, Cercopithecidae.
GAACAACAGGGAGAAAUGUCUGAACUGGAUGGUCAGAGAUAGAUGAUCUCUCUGUGGGAAAACCAUACUGAGAUCUAAAGGGUGAGAAGACACCAGCCCUGAGGCGCAAUAGCAGGAACAGUCUAGACCAAGGGAAUGGCAAACGCACAGGCUCUUAAGAUGCAGAAUUUGUGGAUAUGGACAAAUAAGUGUGAUAACUAGACCUGGGAGCAAUCAUACAAACUAUCCAUCUUCUUCUGGUAAAUCAAGAAGCUCAAACAAACUGAAGAGACAGACUCCAUUCUUGGGAGGUUUGGCUUCUGCUGCAAUAUUUGCACAAUGGUAGAUACUGAAAUGCUUCAAUUAUUAACUCUACAACGUCAGCCAAACCCAACAAACUAAGAUUUUCAGAGGCUGGACACGGUGGCUUAUGUCCAUAAUCUCAGCACUUUGGGAUGCC